AACUCUUAGCGGUGGGUCACUCGGCCCGCACGGCGAUGAAGAACGCAGCUCGCUGCGAGAUUGAUCAUCGACACUUCGAACGCACCUUGCGGCCCCGGGUUCCGACACCUGUCUGAGGGUCG
This is a ribosomal RNA of Lepisosteus oculatus (spotted gar), 122 nucleotides long. It matches the Rfam family "5.8S ribosomal RNA". Rfam says of the family: 5.8S ribosomal RNA (5.8S rRNA) is a component of the large subunit of the eukaryotic ribosome. It is transcribed by RNA polymerase I as part of the 45S precursor that also contains 18S and 28S rRNA. Lineage: Eukaryota; Metazoa; Chordata; Actinopteri; Semionotiformes; Lepisosteidae. The record is from Ensembl.